RNAcentral lists this ribosomal RNA (510 nucleotides) under uncultured bacterium. RNAcentral's name for it is "partial 16S ribosomal RNA". It matches the Rfam family "Bacterial small subunit ribosomal RNA", at positions 28 to 507 of the family's 1533-position model. The record is from RNAcentral.
GACGAACGCUGGCGGCGUGCUUAACACAUGCAAGUCGAACGAAGAGCGAUGGAAGCUUGCUUCUAUCAAUCUUAGUGGCGAACGGGUGAGUAACGCGUAAUCAACCUGCCCUUCAGAGGGGGACAACAGUUGGAAACGACUGCUAAUACCGCAUACGAUCUAACCUCGGCAUCGAGGAUGGAUGAAAGGUGGCCUCUAUUUAUAAGCUAUCACUGAAGGAGGGGAUUGCGUCUGAUUAGCUAGUUGGAGGGGUAACGGCCCACCAAGGCGAUGAUCAGUAGCCGGUCUGAGAGGAUGAACGGCCACAUUGGGACUGAGACACGGCCCAGACUUCUACGGGAGGCAGCAGUGGGGAAUCUUCCGCAAUAGACGAAAGUCUGACGGAGCAACGCCGCGUGAGUGAUGACGGCCUUCGGGUUGUAAAGCUCUGUUAAUCGGGACGAAAGGCCUUCUUGCGAAUAGUUAGAAGGAUUGACGGUACCGGAAUAGAAAGCCACGGCUAACUACGUG